CAAUAUCUGAGUUUUAGAGUUUGUGCAGUAGAAUGUUGUGGUCUACUGUGUCAAAGGCCUUAGGAAAAUCAAGGAAAGUAGCUCCAGUUAGGGCUCCUUGUUCCAUGCCAGUUUGGAUGUCAUUGCAAACUUUUAAGAGGGCAGUUGUAGUGGAGUGAUUCUGGCGAAAGCCCGAUUGAUCAGAGGUCAGAUAGUUAAAUUGUUG
This 205-nucleotide long non-coding RNA is filed under the name Pelobates cultripes (western spadefoot toad). The record is from RNAcentral. Lineage: Eukaryota; Metazoa; Chordata; Amphibia; Anura; Pelobatidae.